RNAcentral lists this ribosomal RNA (245 nucleotides) under uncultured Methylosoma sp. Its description in RNAcentral is "partial 16S ribosomal RNA". It matches the Rfam family "Bacterial small subunit ribosomal RNA", at positions 524 to 768 of the family's 1533-position model. The record is from RNAcentral. Lineage: Bacteria; Pseudomonadati; Pseudomonadota; Gammaproteobacteria; Methylococcales; Methylococcaceae.
UACAGAGGGUGCGAGCGUUAAUCGGAAUUACUGGGCGUAAAGCGUGCGUAGACGGUUAUGUAAGUCGGGUGUGAAAGCCCCGGGCUCAACCCGGGAACUGCAUUCGAGACUGCAUAGCUAGGGUGCGGAAGAGGGAAGCGGAAUUUCAGGUGUAGCGGUGAAAUGCGUAGAUAUCUGAAGGAACACCAGUGGCGAAAGCGGCUUCCUGGUCCAGCACCGACGUUCAGGCACGAAAGCGUGGGGAG